This 68-nucleotide transfer RNA is filed under the name Podarcis lilfordi (Lilford's wall lizard). RNAcentral's name for it is "tRNA.Pro". Lineage: Eukaryota; Metazoa; Chordata; Lepidosauria; Squamata; Lacertidae. The record is from RNAcentral.
GUGUGGUGUAGUGGUUAGAACAUUGGACUAGGACCUGGGAGACCAGGGUUCAAAUCCCUACUUAACCA